RNAcentral lists this unclassified non-coding RNA (235 nucleotides) under Ophiocordycipitaceae sp. RNAcentral describes it as "partial contains small subunit ribosomal RNA, internal transcribed spacer 1, and 5.8S ribosomal RNA". Lineage: Eukaryota; Fungi; Ascomycota; Sordariomycetes; Hypocreales; Ophiocordycipitaceae. The record is from RNAcentral. RNAcentral also lists the same sequence under 1 other name.
UCUCCGUUGGUGAACCAGCGGAGGGAUCAUUACAGAGUUUACAACUCCCAAACCCACUGUGAACCUUACAGCGUCGUUGCCUCGGCGGACCGCCCCCGGCGCGGCCCCUCUCAGGGGACGCCCGGGACCACGGCGCCCGCCGGAGGACCCAAACUCUUGUAUUUGCAGGAUGCAUUGCUCUGAGUGAAAACAAGCAAAUGAAUCAAAACUUUCAACAACGGAUCUCUUGGUUCUG